CCUGAUUCCCAUCAGCCAUCUACAACGGCAUAUCAGCGGAGGCUCCACAACCUGUCAGCGCCAGAUCGUUGUUUAACCCACUGUGGAUCACUCUCCGACCGCCGAGUUGUCAUCACCAGCCGCCACCAGUCGCCAUUCCAGCCGGAUUAUUCUCUCUGCUCCUCCACCUCAAAUAAAACCUUUUUUCAACACUC
Long non-coding RNA from Trematomus bernacchii (emerald rockcod), 194 nucleotides. RefSeq lists it as uncharacterized. The record is from RefSeq and is a predicted model, not a curated record. The transcript has 2 exons. Lineage: Eukaryota; Metazoa; Chordata; Actinopteri; Perciformes; Nototheniidae.